GCAUAAUUUUUGCAUUUUAUUUUCUGCAAAGCGUCGGAAACAUAUCAGUAGACGCUUGCCAAAGCCGAUUUCUACAGGCCUGCGAUGAAGGCCACUCCAGUGUUCUUCAACCAAACAUUACCUUGGAUGAGUUGGGCCACUGUAAACUUGUUCGCCUCGGCAGUAUUGAUGAUAUGAUAACCAGGCCAUUUCACUCUCUUGCUGGUACCAGCACCGGGUCCGCUGUUCAUGUACUCUCCGUAAUACAGUGUUUGGAGAAAGUCCUUGCUCGCGGCAUCCCAUUCUGCCCAUCCUGUUGGGUCAAUGUGGGCUCCUAACAAGGACUGCAUCACAACAGUCCUGGAGUAUUUCUUCCAUGGGCGGCCUAAGUAGGUUUUGACGGAGCCUAUCACAGGUUUGAGGUCCGUGCUUGGGAUUACAUCGCAUUGCUGAAUUGAAGUUGCGGUGUUCUGGUUUGGGUCUAUUCGACCCUGGGCUGUGACCAUGUUGUUUUGGUUGGCCAUGGGCUUUCGGGCCACGAGUUUGCACUUCUGCAACACAACAGCUGCGUCUCCAAAGAUAAAGUCAAUGGUACCGGUAAUGAAGGAGUCACGGUAAAAUUGUCGGUUGGUGUGUGCGUAUAGAGUGUCUUGAAAUGCAUCAAUUUUGCAACGGUUAAUGACAGAUCGAUCAGAGCCGACGCGCAGAGCAACUGCCUGAUGCUUCUGUGGACCUGCCGUGUUUUGGAAUCCAAUGUCCUGAGCUAUAAACCAAUCCCCAACAGCAGCUACAAAACCAAAUUAUAUACGAAUCAAAAUCAAUGUCAUAGAAAAAUUGAAACGGUAAAUACUGACAAGGGAAAAAACUCAUACCAACAGUUGCAGUUUGGAAGGUGCCUGUUCCAUCAACGUAAUUUAAGCUGCCUGUGAUUAUCGUUGCAUCCAUACCGUCACCCAAGAGCAUCACGUUCGUCUUUGAACUAGCGAUUUCUACAUUCUCUUUGUAGAUUCCCUUUUUCACGUAGAUAACAUACCUUGCCGUACCUUUGUUAGGUGCAGAUGCAACAGCCUCAGCAACAGUCUUGAACUUGCCACUCCCGUCUUUAGCCACCACAACAUUGGCCUUUACGUCUCCAACUGAAGACUCCAAAAGCCUUCGAUCUUUACUUGUUACCCAAGAGGGAAAGUCACCAUUCAAUGAUUCAUCAAUGAAUUCGUCGUGAUCCUUUGGAGGUAAAACGGCAACAAGCACGGCUAGAGAUGAUCUAGCUCUUGCUAUUAAGUCCUGAAUGUCAUUUUCCAUAACAGCCCGAGACGUACCUUCUAAUCCAUCCAAACAAGUUGCAUGGUUUGUGAGCACACUACUUAGCCAAGUGUGUGCAUCUUGCUGUGAGUCCAUAUUAUCUUUUGUGAGAGUUAACACUGAGUCCCAAACUCUUUCCAUGGACAAGUUCAUUAGUUUUUCACAGACAUUCAAAGCAUUUUCUUCUCUAGGGCUGUUAAUUCGGCGUUUGAUAACAUUAGCCGUGUCCAUGGCCUUUCGAAUGUGUGUGGUGGAUUUGGUUAACAACGAUAUGAGUGUACUCAAUUUGUGGUCUUUUGUGUUGUCCAAGGUUGAACCUUGAACUACCUCAGCUACAUGAGUUAAGCAUGAGUUUGUAUCAACUGCAUGUUCACACACAUUAGGAGCUGAGGAGAAGUGGAAAAUGGAGAUGGGUUUGUUCAGAUGAGAAAUAAUAAGGGCUGAUGAGCUUAUGAUAGCAGCUAAAGAGAGAACUAACCAAAAUGUUUUGGGAAUGGAUUUUCUAGGCUUGUGUAGCAAAGUUUCUUGGGUAGCCAUUCUGAUAAUGUAGCUAGUGUUGGUUUGCUUAGUAUGAUCUUUGUUUACUUCAUCAAACUAUUA
Molecule: long non-coding RNA, 1881 nt
Filed under: Medicago truncatula (barrel medic)
Lineage: Eukaryota; Viridiplantae; Streptophyta; Magnoliopsida; Fabales; Fabaceae
Description: lncRNA gene40046
Source: RNAcentral